GACGAACGCUGGCGGCGUGCUUAACACAUGCAAGUCGAACGGAAAGGCCCUGCUUUUGUGGGGUGCUCGAGUGGCGAACGGGUGAGUAACACGUGAGUAACCUGCCCUUGACUUUGGGAUAACUUCAGGAAACUGGGGCUAAUACCGGAUAGGAGCUCCUGCUGCAUGGUGGGGGUUGGAAAGUUUCGGCGGUUGGGGGUGGACUCGCGGCUUAUCAGCUUGUUGGUGGGGUAGUGGCUUACCAAGGCUUUGACGGGUAGCCGGCCUGAGAGGGUGACCGGCCACAUUGGGACUGAGAUACGGCCCAGACUCCUACGGGAGGCAGCAGUGGGGAAUAUUGCACAAUGGGCGGAAGCCUGAUGCAGCAACGCCGCGUGCGGGAUGAAGGCCUUCGGGUUGUAAACCGCUUUCGCCUGUGACGAAGCGUGAGUGACGGUAAUGGGUAAAGAAGCACCGGCUAACUACGUG
RNAcentral lists this ribosomal RNA (468 nucleotides) under uncultured bacterium. RNAcentral's name for it is "partial 16S ribosomal RNA". It matches the Rfam family "Bacterial small subunit ribosomal RNA", at positions 28 to 507 of the family's 1533-position model. The record is from RNAcentral.